RNAcentral lists this ribosomal RNA (800 nucleotides) under uncultured bacterium. RNAcentral describes it as "bacterial SSU rRNA". It matches the Rfam family "Bacterial small subunit ribosomal RNA", at positions 66 to 872 of the family's 1533-position model. The record is from RNAcentral.
GGGGUAGAAGUCUUCGGGCUUUGAGACCGGCGCACGGGUGCGUAACGCGUAUGCAAUCUACCUUUUACAGAGGGAUAGCCCAGAGAAAUUUGGAUUAAUACCUCAUAGUAUUAUGAAAUGGCAUCAUUUUAUAAUUAAAGUCACAACGGUAAAAGAUGAGCAUGCGUCCCAUUAGCUAGUUGGCAAGGUAACGGCUUACCAAGGCUACGAUGGGUAGGGGUCCUGAGAGGGAGAUCCCCCACACUGGUACUGAGACACGGACCAGACUCCUACGGGAGGCAGCAGUGAGGAAUAUUGGACAAUGGGCGCAAGCCUGAUCCAGCCAUGCCGCGUGCAGGAUGACGGUCCUAUGGAUUGUAAACUGCUUUUAUACGAGAAGAAACACUACUUCGUGAAGUAGCUUGACGGUAUCGUAAGAAUAAGGAUCGGCUAACUCCGUGCCAGCAGCCGCGGUAAUACGGAGGAUCCAAGCGUUAUCCGGAAUCAUUGGGUUUAAAGGGUCCGUAGGCGGUUUAAUAAGUCAGUGGUGAAAGCCCAUCGCUCAACGGUGGAACGGCCAUUGAUACUGUUAAACUUGAAUUAUUAGGAAGUAACUAGAAUAUGUAGUGUAGCGGUGAAAUGCUUAGAGAUUACAUGGAAUACCAAUUGCGAAGGCAGGUUACUACUAAUGGAUUGACGCUGAUGGACGAAAGCGUGGGUAGCGAACAGGAUUAGAUACCCUGGUAGUCCACGCCGUAAACGAUGGAUACUAGCUGUUGGAAGCAAUUUCAGUGGCUAAGCGAAAGUGAUAAGUAUCCCAC